RNAcentral lists this ribosomal RNA (301 nucleotides) under uncultured bacterium. RNAcentral's name for it is "partial 16S ribosomal RNA". It matches the Rfam family "Bacterial small subunit ribosomal RNA", at positions 509 to 807 of the family's 1533-position model. The record is from RNAcentral.
CAGCAGCCACGGGAAUACGGAGGGUGCAAGCGUUAAUCGGAAUUACUGGGCGUAAAGCGCACGCAGGCGGUCUGACAAGUCAGAUGUGAAAUCCCCGGGCUUAACCUGGGAACUGCAUUUGAAACUGUCAGGCUGGAGUCUUGUAGAGGGGGGUAGAAUUCCAGGUGUAGCGGUGAAAUGCGUAGAGAUCUGGAGGAAUACCGGUGGCGAAGGCGGCCCCCUGGACAAAGACUGACGCUCAGGUGCGAAAGCGUGGGGAGCAAACAGGAUUAAAUACCCCGGUAGUCCCUGUCUCUUAUAC